UACGUAGAGUGCAGGCGUUAAUCGGAAUUACUGGGCGUAAAGCGUGCGCAGGCGGUUUGCUAAGACAGGUGUGAAAUCCCCGGGCUUAACCUGGGAACUGCGCUUGUAACUGGCAAGCUAGAGUGUGGCAGAGGGGGGUGGAAUUCCACGUGUAGCAGUGAAAUGCGUAGAUAUGUGGAGGAACACCGAUGGCGAAGGCAGCCCCCUGGGAUGUGACUGACGCUCAUGUACGAAAGCGUGGGGAGCAAACAGG
This 253-nucleotide ribosomal RNA is filed under the name uncultured bacterium. RNAcentral's name for it is "partial 16S ribosomal RNA". It matches the Rfam family "Bacterial small subunit ribosomal RNA", at positions 524 to 776 of the family's 1533-position model. The record is from RNAcentral.